This 1228-nucleotide long non-coding RNA is filed under the name Sarcophilus harrisii (Tasmanian devil). RNAcentral describes it as "lncRNA (ENSSHAG00000021627.1)". The record is from RNAcentral. Lineage: Eukaryota; Metazoa; Chordata; Mammalia; Dasyuromorphia; Dasyuridae.
AAAGGUAACUUUACCUUACUUAAAUGUCCUGCCUUAAAGAAAGCAUUUCCAUGAUUUUAGUUGGUUUCAUGAAAGGGUUAAUAUCAGCAAAGCUUUAUAAGAGUGUGUGCUCAGGUGCAUACUGAUGUAACAGAUGAUCCAUGCAAGUGCAGUUUUGUCUUGUCACUCUUUUGUCAUGUCUUGUCAUUAGUUCAUGACUGUGCAAAGUCAGCUUAUGUUUCACAACCAUAAGAAUUUUUUUUAAUACACUGCUCAUGCCAAACCUUUUUGAGCCAUAGGAUCCAAGCCAUAAAAUUCUUUAUGCAUAUUGAAUCCAGUUGGUAAAAGACAAGAUUUGCUUUAAAAUUCAGUAAAUAAAAGUGAAAUCCUGCCACUGUAUCCAAAAGUGGAUUUAGAAGUAAUUUUUUUUUUCCCACUUGUGGCAGUAUCUGAAAUGAUUGUUAAAUGUUCCACUUUGAAAAUGUUUUUUUGGAUCUGGGGGAAAAAAGUUUUUUCUUUAAAUUUUUUUGUAUUGCAGCAGGUAUUUUUGAGAACUUCCCAGUAUUGCUCGAUGGAUAGUUGUUCAGGACAGAAAUUAAACUUCAAUGACUAACAUCUUUUGUUUUUUUUUUUUUUUUUUGGUUUAUUUGUGGCAUUUGGCAAAAAUGUAGAACUCAGUGAUGGUCACGUCUAUUGGCAGAGGGGUUUUAUUAUGAACUUUUGACAUUCUAUUGCUUGUAUCCAAGCAUAUGAACAUACUGUCAAUGUACUUGGCCAAAUUCUAGUAAUGUUCUUCCACCAAAAGUCUCCUUCAGUCCUACUAAGAACAUUUGCACUGUGAUUGGCUAGCUAUAUAUCCUAUUCAUAAUAUGAUCUUUUUAAAAUUAGUAAGAGUGACACAAAUAACAAUCUUUUUUUUCCUGGUCACACAAGUAGUGUUAACUAUAUACCCACAUACUUAGUGUGUGUGUGAUGUUUGGUGUGUGUGUGGGAUGUGUGUGUGUAUGUGUGUUAUCUCCAGCUUAAUGGCCAUUAAAAAUGAACUUGACUUCCAUGCUGUCACAUGCUAAGAAAUCAUACUUUUCAUGAUGAUAUCCCUGACAUGACUGUGAAAACAUGGUGUCACAGACAGCAAGCACACACCUAUGCAAUAUGGCUUAUUCUAUUCAAUUCAACAAACAUCCAUUUAAAAAACAUUUGUUGAAUUGAAUCCUAUAUUUAUUUGUAAAAAUUCAAAUGUAGUUUAAAG